RNAcentral lists this ribosomal RNA (253 nucleotides) under uncultured bacterium. Its description in RNAcentral is "partial 16S ribosomal RNA". It matches the Rfam family "Bacterial small subunit ribosomal RNA", at positions 524 to 776 of the family's 1533-position model. The record is from RNAcentral.
UACGGGGGGGGCAAGCGUUGUUCGGAAUUACUGGGCGUAAAGGGCUCGUAGGCGGCCAACUAAGUCAGACGUGAAAUCCCCGGGCUCAACCCGGGAACUGCGUCCGAUACUGGAAGGCUUGAAUCCGGGAGAGGGAUGUGGAAUUCCAGGUGUAGCGGUGAAAUGCGUAGAUAUCUGGAGGAACACCGGUGGCGAAGGCGACAUCCUGGACCGGUAUUGACGCUGAGGCGCGAAAGCCAGGGGAGCAAACGGG